GCAUAGAAAUGGCGGCAAAAGCGCUGCUGACCCUCGUUGCACUUGCUCUGGGGACAGGGCUAGGCGAGAAGCCCUGAAAGAGAGACAUUUAGGGAAACAAGUUAGGCCCUGACGAGGUCGCUGCAGCUUCAGGGGUCCUGGCUGGAGACAAAAAGUAAGUGAAGAAGGAAAUGGCCAUUGGACCGAGAGGUUGUCAUUUAUGGAGACACUUUCAACUGACAGCUGAGAAUCCUAACUGCAAAUUUAGGGUACAUUCAGCAGCGACAAAGGCAGAAUACCCCAUUUGGUGGUCAUUUCCCAACACAGAAGAAAAUGAUCCAUACCCAAAAGGCCCCGCUGACCUUUGCCGACGUGGCUGUGCACUUCACCUGGGAGGAGUGGGAGCUCCUGGCCCCCACGAAGAAGGCCCUGUACCAGGAGGUGAUGCUGGAGACCUACAGCCACCUGGUGUCCAUAUGGGUGAGGACGAGUCAUGGCCCGAGGACUGGCAGGGCCUUUCCUGCUUAGCUGCUCACACUUGGAAGCCACUGGGGUGCUCUGCAU
Talpa occidentalis (Iberian mole) is the source of this 543-nucleotide long non-coding RNA. RefSeq lists it as uncharacterized. The transcript has 3 exons. The record is from RefSeq and is a predicted model, not a curated record. Lineage: Eukaryota; Metazoa; Chordata; Mammalia; Eulipotyphla; Talpidae.